RNAcentral lists this long non-coding RNA (360 nucleotides) under Panax ginseng (ginseng). RNAcentral's name for it is "long non-coding RNA (PGIN_LNC007014)". The record is from RNAcentral. Lineage: Eukaryota; Viridiplantae; Streptophyta; Magnoliopsida; Apiales; Araliaceae.
UAUAUAUAUAUAUUUUCUCUCAAACUAGCGAAGGGAUCGAAGGGAGAAGUGUCAUUUUCUCACAUAUACUUCUUCACAUAAAAGAAACAAGCAUUCACUUCAUACCUAGCUAGCUAAUUAUCAUUUAUUCCUUCUCUCUCCUCUCCAUCUCCAUAUAAUCCCAAAUCUCUGCAACUACUCCACCCCCACAAGUUUUUGUCAUCCAUGAAAUGAAUCUCAUCUGCAAUGAAAACCCACCCAGAAACUAGUUAUCUCACAUAAUCUUGAAAACCCAGAUCAUAAAAAUCCCAACAAGCCUUUCUAGCUCAUCUUUUGACAUAUUUUUAGUAGUGCUAGCUACAAUAUAUAUAUANNNNNNNN